RNAcentral lists this ribosomal RNA (253 nucleotides) under uncultured bacterium. Its description in RNAcentral is "partial 16S ribosomal RNA". It matches the Rfam family "Bacterial small subunit ribosomal RNA", at positions 524 to 776 of the family's 1533-position model. The record is from RNAcentral.
UACGUAGGGGGCAAGCGUUGUCCGGAAUCAUUGGGCGUAAAGCGCGUGUAGGCGGCUUUGCAAGUCGGGUGUGAAAGCCCUCGGCUCAACCGAGGAAGUGCGCCCGAAACUGCAGAGCUUGAGUGCCGGAGAGGAUGGCGGAAUUCCCCAAGUAGAGGUGAAAUUCGUAGAUAUGGGGAGGAACACCGGUGGCGAAGGCGGCCAUCUGGACGGUCACUGACGCUGAGACGCGAGAGCGUGGGUAGCAAACAGG